UACGGAGGGUGCAAGCGUUAUCCGGAUUUACUGGGUUUAAAGGGUGCGUAGGCGGCUUUGUAAGUCAGUGGUGAAAUAUGGCAGCUCAACUGUCAGGGUGCCAUUGAUACUGCGGAGCUUGAGUACAGAUGAGGUAGGCGGAAUUGACGGUGUAGCGGUGAAAUGCUUAGAUAUCGUCAAGAACACCGAUAGCGAAGGCAGCUUACUAGGCUGUAACUGACGCUGAGGCACGAAAGUGUGGGGAUCAAACAGG
This 253-nucleotide ribosomal RNA is filed under the name uncultured bacterium. Its description in RNAcentral is "partial 16S ribosomal RNA". It matches the Rfam family "Bacterial small subunit ribosomal RNA", at positions 524 to 776 of the family's 1533-position model. The record is from RNAcentral.